CGGGAUAGAGCUUGUAGUAAGCUCCAUAUUUACACUAUGGCGAAACCAAUUCAUAUGGUUGUCUCGA
RNAcentral lists this transfer RNA (67 nucleotides) under Cloeon dipterum. RNAcentral describes it as "tRNA-Val". Lineage: Eukaryota; Metazoa; Arthropoda; Insecta; Ephemeroptera; Baetidae. The record is from RNAcentral.